GAACUUCCAAGCUGGAAGGCUUCCAGAAAAGGAUAAGCCAAUGUAGUGUCAAAGACACACCAUGUUUGUGAACUGGAAAUUUUCCUUUAGCGUUUUUAGAGGUAUUCUGUUCAAGCAUGCUGGACCUCAAGAUCUGGAAGAUCAGUCUUCAGUCAGAUUGGAGAAAGGAUGGCUCUGUGUAUGUUCAAGGCAGGAAAAAGGACAUGCUUCAUCUGCAAGGCACUCAGAAAAUCAUAUGGACCAUUCUCACCAAAGAGCUAUGUUCUGUAAGGAGCCUUAAAGUGAUGCUAAUUUAGUCUAAAUAAGAAUUUGAUGUAGAAUCAUAGAAAUGCAGGUAGAUCAAUGUGCUGCUGGUGGAGUGGAUCUCCUUCAGAUAACUGGAAGACCGACUACCAUCUACUCACGCUAUAGUUUCCUUUCCUGUGACUGACCGGAUUUUGUGAUUCUGGAAAAGACGACUCUUCUCAUACAGCUGCUCGUCCCAAAAGACCGGGCCCCUUGACAUGAUCCUAGGAGUUUGAAAAAUUCCCAUUUGUAGAACUUUCCUCUAUUUGUUUCUGACAAAUGCGGACUGAGGUCUACAUGCAGCCUUGCAAUUUUACAAAUACAAGUAUACUUGUAUAAUUUUACUGGUUAGGUUCAUAGCAGGUUUUCUUAGCAAUGGAAAACCCAAACUUAUACAAAGGUCUAAAGAAUACAGCUAUUAAUGUAGUGAAAGUUUAACAAAGCUGAAUAAAGUUUGCCUAUUUAUUCUCAUUUGACAAUGUUUUAUCUACUUCUCAUUGGCAGAUCUGGCAAUUAGGCACGGAAUUUAGGCACUUUCUAAUUUGUCAUUGAGGUGAAUGAUAUACACUUUUUCAUUUAUCCGCAUAGCAGUGAAAUAAAAAAGUCGCAAAUGG
Struthio camelus australis is the source of this 899-nucleotide long non-coding RNA. RefSeq lists it as uncharacterized. The record is from RefSeq and is a predicted model, not a curated record. NCBI's taxonomy places the organism in Eukaryota, Metazoa, Chordata, Aves, Struthioniformes, Struthionidae.